This 253-nucleotide ribosomal RNA is filed under the name uncultured bacterium. Its description in RNAcentral is "partial 16S ribosomal RNA". It matches the Rfam family "Bacterial small subunit ribosomal RNA", at positions 524 to 776 of the family's 1533-position model. The record is from RNAcentral.
UACGGAGGGUGCAAGCGUUAUCCGGAUUCACUGGGUUUAAAGGGUGCGUAGGCGGGUAUAUAAGUCAGUGGUGAAAGCUCCGAGCUUAACUUGGAAACUGCCAUUGAUAUUGUAUAUCUUGAAUGUCGUUGAGGUUAGCGGAAUGUUGCAUGUAGCGGUGAAAUGCUUAGAUAUGUUACAGAACACCAAUUGUGAAGACAGCUAACUAAGCGAUGAUUGACGCUGAGGCACGAAAGCGUGGGGAGCAAACAGG